ACGGGUGAGUAAUGUCUGGGAAACUGCCUGAUGGAGGGGGAUAACUACUGGAAACGGUAGCUAAUACCGCAUAACGUCGCAAGACCAAAGAGGGGGACCUUCGGGCCUCUUGCCAUCGGAUGUGCCCAGAUGGGAUUAGCUAGUAGGUGGGGUAACGGCUCACCUAGGCGACGAUCCCUAGCUGGUCUGAGAGGAUGACCAGCCACACUGGAACUGAGACACGGUCCAGACUCCUACGGGAGGCAGCAUG
Molecule: ribosomal RNA, 250 nt
Filed under: uncultured bacterium
Lineage: Bacteria
Description: partial 16S ribosomal RNA
Rfam family: Bacterial small subunit ribosomal RNA
Source: RNAcentral